Molecule: long non-coding RNA, 2249 nt
Filed under: Homo sapiens (human)
Lineage: Eukaryota; Metazoa; Chordata; Mammalia; Primates; Hominidae
Description: PREDICTED lncRNA (TCONS_00110915)
Source: RNAcentral
CUUGAGCUGGAGUCACCCAGCCUGGCCAAGAACUGGAAAAGUCUCUUUGGGGAUUUGGACCCAUUUCUGAAAAGCUCAUGAAAACCACUUUGCCUUGGACUCCUGCCCCCAGCCGGAGCCCUCCAUAUCCAUUUAACCCAAAUCCCCAACUCCAGGGAUGACUACAGGUUGGGGGAGCCCCGAGAGCAAGGGAGAGAUGGGUCUUUCUAUGUUGCCCAGGCUGAUCUUGAACUCCUGGCCUCCAGCAGUCCUUCUGCCUCUGCCUCCCAAAGUGCUGGGAUUACAGGCAUGAGACUCCACAGCCGGCCGUCACUUAUGUUAUGCUUAGCAUCCCACAGCAUUUGUGAGGAAACUGAUGUCCAGAAAGAAGCAGGCAUCAGUGGAGACACUCCUAGCCCUGCUGCCCUCUCCUCACUGCACACACUUCCAGGUUCAGACAAACCGGAAAGGAAACCCACCAUGCAGGACUGUCCAUGUGAUGGCUCUUCCCGUGGCUCCAUUUCUAAGCGCCUCCGAGGACCUCAUCGUGGCCCAGGACCGCAAGCCAAGGCCACCCCAGUGUCCUUACCAUCCUGGGAAUGGGAGGAGUCAGGCCCAGCCUUGUCCUGUCUGCCCCCCUGGAAGCCUUCCCUGAGCACUGGCCUCUUAUUUACCCGUCUUUGUCUCUGGCUUGUUGGUAUCUGUCCCUUGUCUGAUUAGGGAACGCCUGAGGUCAGGAUCUUUGCCUCCCCAAUCAGAUUGUCAGGCAGGAGUGGGGGUAGUGCAGAUGCUGGGUCAUUUCUACAUGUGAGACCAAAUAGUGGUCCUGUUUAAGUUGAUCCCCUUGAAAGAAAAUUCUGGAAAAGCUCCUCAGAUGCACAGAUACACAGAAUCAGACCUUGGGCAAAGUGUGUAGUUGUGCUUUUGAAGCUGUGCAACCUUGGACAAACUACUUGACUUCUCUGUGCCUCAGUUUCCUUAUUUGUGAAAUGAGGGGUAGUCAUGAUACCUUCCCCAUGAGGUUGAUGGGAGGAUUGAGUUAAUAUUUAUAAAGCAUUUCAGACAGUGCCAGAGAUAUACCGUGUGUUAAAUAAGUAUUUCUUACACACACACACACACACACAGACACACACACACACACACACACACACACACACACUUCGGAGGUCUGCCAGGCCAGGGCUCAUAGCCUUGAAUCUACCCAUGGUAGAGAGUCAGACAACUUGCCUUGCAGACUGCCUGCUCUCCCAGCAGCCAUGCAGGGGAUCUUCUGCCUCUGCACUGCCGAUUAUCCCCUGCCCUCGUCAGAGCCUCUCCCCAAAAGUACCUCCAAGGCCACAAUUACCCAGGUCUCUGCUUCAGUGCUGAGUGUCUGUUCCUCUCCACCAUCACCUGCCACAGUGCACACGGACAGCUCCAUCAGGAGAAGCAGGGCGAGGCAAGGCAGCAUGGUGAGCCUGCACUGUCCUGGAAUCUCUGGGAGCCCCUCUCAGCUUGAAGAUGCCUCCUGCAGGCUUUGGUUUGCUCUUUGGCUCCUUGAGUGUAGAUAGGGGAAACUCCCCCUGUUUUCUGGUCCUUCCAGCUGUUCCUGAUUCCUUCCUUCAGCUUAACUGAUCCCCAGGCCAGUUUCUGUGACUCCCCUCCCUCCCUGGCUGGACAGGCCAAUGAUAUUAGGAGCUGCUCAGGAGGAGGGAUCAGACCUCUUCCACUGCUGCCCCCUAACAUUUGAUCCCAGGGCUUAACACUCUGAUGCAACACCUGCCUCACCUUUGGCUGUUUCCCUGGUGGCAGGUGCACAGUGGGGCAGUGUGUGGGACCUGGAGCUUGCAGCUUCCAGGCUGGAAAACCUGAAGGGACCUUCUCAUCUUAGAAAUAAGGGAGGGGGCCAUAUGCCUUCUCCCUACCUGGUGCUCUGCUCCCCUGUACAGAGAGGCCUCUCCCUGGAAAUUAGCAGUAUCCCCUUUCUGUCUCCUCUUCCUGUCUUUGAGCCCCCUCCUCUCCAGCAUUCUCCUCCAUCAAUAGUCCCUGUGUGUGCAAAAGAACACGUCUUCCUUUAAGAGAAAUAACACAUUGCUUAAAGAAAUGAGGCUCCUCACGAGUGGGAAUUGGGAUUUGCCAGAAAAAUGGCUGCAGGUUUCAAGCGUCAUUGGCUCUAAGUGAUCUUUCCCCUGUUGUCAAAGUGAUGUUUCUAAGUCCCUAAACUGACUUGUCUCUCCUGCUUACAACCUUUCAGUGUCUUCCCACUGCCCUUGAGUGAAUUCAAGCUCCCU